RNAcentral lists this ribosomal RNA (813 nucleotides) under Lasiodiplodia theobromae. RNAcentral describes it as "eukaryotic LSU rRNA". The stretch from base 160 to 313 matches the Rfam family "5.8S ribosomal RNA". Lineage: Eukaryota; Fungi; Ascomycota; Dothideomycetes; Botryosphaeriales; Botryosphaeriaceae. The record is from RNAcentral.
GGGUACUGCGGAAGGAUCAUUACCGAGUUUUCGAGCUUCGGCUCGACUCUCCCACCCUUUGUGAACGUACCUCUGUUGCUUUGGCGGCUUCGGCCGCCAAAGGACCUUCAAACUCCAGUCAGUAAACGCAGACGUCUGAUAAACAAGUUAAUAAACUAAAACUUUCAACAACGGAUCUCUUGGUUCUGGCAUCGAUGAAGAACGCAGCGAAAUGCGAUAAGUAAUGUGAAUUGCAGAAUUCAGUGAAUCAUCGAAUCUUUGAACGCACAUUGCGCCCCUUGGUAUUCCGGGGGGCAUGCCUGUUCGAGCGUCAUUACAACCCUCAAGCUCUGCUUGGAAUUGGGCACCGUCCUCACUGCGGACGCGCCUCAAAGACCUCGGCGGUGGCUGUUCAGCCCUCAAGCGUAGUAGAAUACACCUCGCUUUGGAGCGGUUGGCGUCGCCCGCCGGACGAACCUUCUGAACUUUUCUCAAGGUUGACCUCGGAUCAGGUAGGGAUACCCGCUGAACUUAAGCAUAUCAAAAGCCCCGGAGGAAAGAUCAUUACCGAGUUUUCGAGCUUCGGCUCGACUCUCCACCUUUGUGAACGUACCUCUGUUGCUUUGGCGGCUUCGGCCGCAAAGGACUUCAACUCGUCGUAAACGCGACUCUGAUAAACAAGUUAAUAAACUAAAACUUUCAACAACGGGAUCUCUUGGUUCUGGCAUCGAUGAAGAACGCAGCGAAAUGCGAGUAAGUAAUGUGAAUUGCAGAAAUUCGUGAAUCAUCGAAAUCUUUUGAACGCACAUUGCGCCCUUGGUAUUCGGGGGGGCA